GACGAACGCUGGCGGCGUGCUUAACACAUGCAAGUCGAACGGAAAGGCCCUGCUUUUGUGGGGUGCUCGAGUGGCGAACGGGUGAGUAACACGUGAGUAACCUGCCCUUGACUUUGGGAUAACUUCAGGAAACUGGGGCUAAUACCGGAUAGGAGCUCCUGCUGCAUGGUGGGGGUUGGAAAGUUUCGGCGGUUGGGGAUGGACUCGCGGCUUAUCAGCUUGUUGGUGGGGUAGUGGCUUACCAAGGCUUUGACGGGUAGCCGGCCUGAGAGGGUGACCGGCCACAUUGGGACUGAGAUACGGCCCAGACUCCUACGGGAGGCAGCAGUGGGGAAUAGUGCACAAUGGGCGGAAGCCUGAUGCAGCAACGCCGCGUGCGGGAUGACGGCCUUCGUGUUGUAAACCGCUUGCGCCUGUGACGAAGCGUGAGUGACGGUAAUGGGUAAAGAAGCACCGGCUAACUACGUG
RNAcentral lists this ribosomal RNA (468 nucleotides) under uncultured bacterium. RNAcentral's name for it is "partial 16S ribosomal RNA". It matches the Rfam family "Bacterial small subunit ribosomal RNA", at positions 28 to 507 of the family's 1533-position model. The record is from RNAcentral.